AUACGGAGGGUGCAAGCGUUACUCGGAAUCACUGGGCGUAAAGCGCGCGCAGGCGGCUUGAUAAGUUGGAUGUGAAAGCCUACGGCUCAACCGUAGAACUGCAUCCAAAACUGUCAGGCUAGAGUCUGAGAGGGGGAGAUGGAAUUAGUUGUGUAGGGGUAAAAUCCGUAGAGAUAACUAGGAAUACCAAAAGCGAAGGCGAUCUUCUGGAACAGUACUGACGCUGAGGCGCGAAAGCGUGGGGAGCAAACAGGAUUAGAAACCCUAGUAGUCC
Molecule: ribosomal RNA, 274 nt
Filed under: uncultured bacterium
Lineage: Bacteria
Description: partial 16S ribosomal RNA
Rfam family: Bacterial small subunit ribosomal RNA
Source: RNAcentral